UCUAGUCUACCAAAUAAUUUUUCAGGACCAUGAGAGUUCAGGCUACCAACAGGAAUGAGAGCCACAUGAUGCAGAACAUAAUUUCUACACUAAAGUCUCCCCCAAGGUCUCGCCGUCUCGGUGGCUCUUCAUAUCACGUCACGAGAAAUUAAUGCUCGGACAUGGCCCACCGUAACUGUAAGUUAGUGGAUUUGUCCAACC
RNAcentral lists this long non-coding RNA (201 nucleotides) under Phoenix dactylifera (date palm). Its description in RNAcentral is "long non-coding RNA (PDAC_LNC015651)". Lineage: Eukaryota; Viridiplantae; Streptophyta; Magnoliopsida; Arecales; Arecaceae. The record is from RNAcentral.